UACGUAGGGGGGCAAGCGUUGUCCGGAAUCAUUGGGCGUAAAGAGCGUGUAGGCGGCCCGGUAAGUCCGCUGUGAAAGUCCAGGGCUCAACCCCUGAAUGCCGGUGGAUACUGUCGGGCUCGAAUCCGGAAGAGGUGAGUGGAAUUCCUGGUGUAGCGGUGAAAUGCGCAGAUAUCAGGAGGAACACCGAUGGCGAAGGCAGGUCUCUGGGCCAUUACUGACACUGAGAAGCGAAAGCAUGGGGAGCGAACAGG
This 254-nucleotide ribosomal RNA is filed under the name uncultured bacterium. RNAcentral describes it as "partial 16S ribosomal RNA". It matches the Rfam family "Bacterial small subunit ribosomal RNA", at positions 524 to 776 of the family's 1533-position model. The record is from RNAcentral.